GAUGAACGCUGGCGGCGUGCCUAAUACAUGCAAGUCGAGCGAACAGACGAGGAGCUUGCUCCUCUGACGUUAGCGGCGGACGGGUGAGUAACACGUGGAUAAGCUACCUAUAAGACUGGGAUAACUUCGGGAAACCGGAGCUAAUACCGGAGAAUAUAUUGAACCGCAUGGAGCAAUAGUGAAAGACGGUUUUGCUGUUACUUAUAGAUGGAUCCGCGCCGCAUUAGCUAGUUGGUAAGGUAACGGCUUACCAAGGCGACGAUGCGUAGCCGACCUGAGAGGGUGAUCAGCCACACUGGAACUGAGACACGGUCCAGACUCCUACGGGAGGCAGCAGUAGGGAAUCUUCCACAAUGGGCGAAAGCCUGACGGAGCAACGCCGCGUGAGUGAUGAAGGUCUUCGGAUCGUAAAACUCUGUUAUUAGGGAAGAACAAAUGUGUAAGUAACUAUGCACGUCUUGACGGUACCUAAUCAGAAAGCCACGGCUAACUACGUG
Molecule: ribosomal RNA, 497 nt
Filed under: uncultured bacterium
Lineage: Bacteria
Description: partial 16S ribosomal RNA
Rfam family: Bacterial small subunit ribosomal RNA
Source: RNAcentral